Molecule: non-coding RNA, 156 nt
Filed under: Tateyamaria sp.
Lineage: Bacteria; Pseudomonadati; Pseudomonadota; Alphaproteobacteria; Rhodobacterales; Roseobacteraceae
Description: 6S RNA
Rfam family: 6S / SsrS RNA
About the family: E. coli 6S RNA was the first non coding RNA to be sequenced, but its function was unknown until recently. It consists of 184 nucleotides that fold into an extended hairpin structure with a large single-stranded internal bulge.
Source: RNAcentral
CGGGUUCUGCCCUACUCGUGAUAGGUUGCAUUCCGGUGGCCUUAAGCAAUUCCGAGGGAGCUGGCUCUGUCCGGGCCUUGGUCCGGUUACCUGGCCCCCACCUGUACAUACAGGUCCUCGGGAAUGAGAGAACCAAACGGUUGCGGUGGUUCCCGU